CCUACGGGUGGCAGCAGUGGGGAAUAUUGGACAAUGGGCGAAAGCCUGAUCCAGCCAUGCCGCGUGUGUGAAGAAGGCCUUCGGGUUGUAAAGCACUUUCAGUGGGGAAGAAAGCCUUGGGGCUAAUACCCUCGAGGAAGGACAUCACCCACAGAAGAAGCACCGGCUAACUCCGUGCCAGCAGCCGCGGUAAUACGGAGGGUGCGAGCGUUAAUCGGAAUUACUGGGCGUAAAGCGCGCGUAGGCGGUCUGAUAAGCCGGUUGUGAAAGCCCCGGGCUCAACCUGGGAACGGCAUCCGGAACUGUCAGGCUAGAGUGCAGGAGAGGAAGGUAGAAUUCCCGGUGUAGCAGUGAAAUGCGUAGAGAUCGGGAGGAAUACCAGUGGCGAAGGCGGCCUUCUGGACUGACACUGACGCUGAGGUGCGAAAGCGUGGGUAGUAAACAGGAUUAGAUACCCCGGUAGUC
This 465-nucleotide ribosomal RNA is filed under the name Vreelandella stevensii. Its description in RNAcentral is "partial 16S ribosomal RNA". It matches the Rfam family "Bacterial small subunit ribosomal RNA", at positions 338 to 795 of the family's 1533-position model. Lineage: Bacteria; Pseudomonadati; Pseudomonadota; Gammaproteobacteria; Oceanospirillales; Halomonadaceae. The record is from RNAcentral.